UGUGAGGUAAACUUUUCUUGUGUGUUUGAAUCAACGUGGCUGGAAAUUGAAGCUGUUUCUUGGGAGGAAAGAAGAGAAGGAGGAGGAAGAAGACGACGACGAUAGGAGAAGGAAGUCAGAGAGAAAAUAUUAAUGUUCUUUCUGUAAGCUUCAUAUUCUUCUUGUCGUUUUCCCUUCCUAUGGUGGCUGACCAUACUCUCUCUCUCUCUCUCUCUCUCUCUCUCUCUCUCUCUCUCUCUCUCUCUCUCUCUCUCUCGUUCCGAACGAGACUGUUGACCCCACUUAGGGAUAAGUUUCCACAGGUCUUAUGGGAUUCAUCCUGUGUCGAUUCAUUGCUAUUUUGAGUAUUUUCAUUUUAUAACGACUCUUCAUCAUCAAUGAUCCGGAAGGGCCUUCUUCAGGAUGACAUGAGCUCUUUCAUUGAUUAAAUAUUUUAAGUUACUAAAAUUUGUGUCACCUUUCGCCAGUAUAUUAACAUUUUGGGCAAGCA
Prosopis cineraria is the source of this 490-nucleotide long non-coding RNA. RefSeq lists it as uncharacterized. The record is from RefSeq and is a predicted model, not a curated record. NCBI's taxonomy places the organism in Eukaryota, Viridiplantae, Streptophyta, Magnoliopsida, Fabales, Fabaceae. The transcript is spliced from 2 exons.